GACGAACGCUGGCGGCGUGCUUAACACAUGCAAGUCGAACGAGAGCGUAGAGAAAGCUUGCUUUUUCUACAAUCUAGUGGCAAACGGGUGAGUAACGCGUAAACAACCUGCCCUACGGAUGGGGACAACAGCUGGAAACGGCUGCUAAUACCGAAUACGUUCCGAAAGUCGCAUAACUAUCGGAAGAAAGGAUGGCCUCUAUUUAUAAGCUAUCGCCGGAGGAGGGGUUUGCGUCUGAUUAGCUAGUUGGAGGGGUAACGGCCCACCAAGGCGACGAUCAGUAGCCGGUCUGAGAGGAUGAACGGCCACAUUGGAACUGAGACACGGUCCAGACUCCUACGGGAGGCAGCAGUGGGGAAUCUUCCGCAAUGGGCGAAAGCCUGACGGAGCAACGCCGCGUGAGUGAAGACGGCCUUCGGGUUGUAAAGCUCUGUUAUACGGGACGAAUAAUCUUGUGGUUAAUACCCAUGAGAAGUGACGGUACCGUAAGAGAAAGCCACGGCUAACUACGUG
RNAcentral lists this ribosomal RNA (513 nucleotides) under uncultured bacterium. Its description in RNAcentral is "partial 16S ribosomal RNA". It matches the Rfam family "Bacterial small subunit ribosomal RNA", at positions 28 to 507 of the family's 1533-position model. The record is from RNAcentral.